GGCUCGUUAGCUCAGUUGGUAAGAGCAUCACACUCAAUAUCGUGAAGGUCGUGGGUUCGAAUCCCACAUGAGCCC
Molecule: non-coding RNA, 75 nt
Organism: Diabrotica virgifera virgifera (western corn rootworm)
Lineage: Eukaryota; Metazoa; Arthropoda; Insecta; Coleoptera; Chrysomelidae
Source: the annotation of a RefSeq genome assembly